Molecule: long non-coding RNA, 1871 nt
Organism: Dromaius novaehollandiae (emu)
Lineage: Eukaryota; Metazoa; Chordata; Aves; Casuariiformes; Dromaiidae
Exons: 2
Source: RefSeq, a predicted model, not a curated record
CUGAGAAAAGAUUAACCCAUGUGGCAGAGCUUCGAAUUAAAAACAUAGCUAAGCAAUCCUCAUACAGGACUUGGUACGGUCAGAAGAGGGAUGGUUUCUAGGUCCGUUCACCACACUGGCAAGGAGCAAGUGCAUCUCUCUAAAGACAGCCGGCGACACUCACAUCGAAUGCCCGGAGGAGACCAGGACCAGCGCUGGGCUUUGAAAAACAGGCCCUGGCCAUGACCGUGCAGCAUCACCAUCUCUCGCUGCUACUUAUUUUCCAUAUUGAAAGACCUCGCAAAUGCCUGGGUACAUUUCUUCAAACGACUGCAUUUCCUCAUUAGGUGAAUAAGCUGUGUGUUUGAUGAUUUUCUACCUUCUUCCUUUUUUCUGGGUUUCUUUUUUCUUCAGAUAGAUACACUCAUUUUUAAUCUUGUGGUAAGCCCACUGCAUUUCUUAUUAUAUGUGGAGAGAAUAUUUCUACUUGACCCAUCACAAGAAGAAACCAGAUAUUGUUAUUCAAAACACAUAUGUAAUUGAUCUCUUUUUACAAGCCUACAUCAAAUAGGUUGCUUCUCCAAAGCAAGGAACAACUUGAAAUUCAUACAGAUUUUGAAAGGUGAGGAGUGUGAACACAAGUCCUUGUAGAUGAAAGAACAUGCUUUUCAGUUAUUUUACUCAGUGCAAAAGAGUUUUUAAUACAAACAAGGCAUGUUGAGUUGAUUAUGAAACAGAAAGAAAUAUAACAAAAUACUUGCUACUCUCAUCGAAUGGAUGCAGGGACACUUUAAAAGCUGGUUUGCUUAUUAUCAUUAACUACUAAAUUCAUUUCAUUUACCAUUUUGGCAUUACUAUAACCCCAGACUAAAAUGCAUUUCUGUUCUUUCUCAUGCUAAAUUGCAGAACCUUUUAGGUAGCGGGGAGCAGGAAGGCAGGGAAACAAAGAAGUCGCAACCAACCUUAAAAUUGCCUCUGUCUCCCAUCCAAGUCUGUAGGCACCAAAGCGGCUCAGCCAGCCGGGCCAUCACUUCACCUGCUCUUCAGCACUCCUCUUGUCGCUCCCCUAAGCUCCCAAACGUAAAACAGCCCUAGCAAAACUGGGCUGUAUUCCUUACAACAGUGUUUGCUGCUCUUAACUGUGCAACCUUGAGCCUACCGAGACCUCCCGUUAGACCCAUGACUGGUCCAGGAGAACAGGCCGUUUACCUUGAAAGUCUGGCCAGGGCUUCCAGGAGGAUUACUCUCUAAUCUGGUUAAGCAGCUGAAUGCCAUGCAGAGCUGACCAUUAUUACUCUGUUGAUGGGGAUUUGCCAGGGAAAUGACGCUAAUCUCCCUGCCCUGCGAUGUUGCAGGAAUGCGUCGUUUCCUGGGAACGCUACGGGUUUCUGCUCGCCACCACCUUUAGAAACGGAAAAGCCCUGCAGCUAAAUCAAUCCCCAUUUCCUUCUCCCAGUGUGAACUCUACCACGCCGGCGUGCCUUCACCGCCUGCGCUGCUGCCACCGCUGAGGCGGGACGUCACACCGAGCCCGAGGUCAGCGGCCACCGGGAAGCUUUGCGGUCGCAGUUGCCCGCGUCGAGGGCCAACUUCACGCUCUCCUUCACAUCCCUCCGGGAACCAGCUGGCUUCAUCGUCGCGUGGUCAAGCGCCCAGCCCGUGUUGGACUCCACCACACGUGGAAGUGGGUUUGGCCUCCAAACUGAUUCCCAAUAUAUUCACUGCCCCCCAAACCAGCCAUUUUUAUUAAGGAGCUUUUUUUACCCAUUCCUCUUAUAAAAAAAAUUUCUACCAUGUCUUUCCUGGGUCUAAACUUGAUGUGGAGGACAGUGUGCUAACCCUUAAAAAUACUAUGUUUUCCAGCUUUUAUAUAAAGUGUAAACCAACUGUAA